UACGUAGGGGGCAAGCGUUGUCCGGAUUUAUUGGGCGUAAAGAGCGUGUAGGCGGCCUGAUAGGUCAGCUGUGAAAACUCGAGGCUCAACCUCGAGACGUCGGUUGAAACCAUCUGGCUAGAGUCCGGAAGAGGAGUGUGGAAUUCCCGGUGUAGCGGUGAAAUGCGCAGAUAUCGGGAAGAACACCCGUGGCGAAGGCGGCACUCUGGGACGGUACUGACGCUGAGACGCGAAAGCGUGGGGAGCGAACAGG
RNAcentral lists this ribosomal RNA (253 nucleotides) under uncultured bacterium. RNAcentral describes it as "partial 16S ribosomal RNA". It matches the Rfam family "Bacterial small subunit ribosomal RNA", at positions 524 to 776 of the family's 1533-position model. The record is from RNAcentral.